Molecule: ribosomal RNA, 254 nt
Filed under: uncultured bacterium
Lineage: Bacteria
Description: partial 16S ribosomal RNA
Rfam family: Bacterial small subunit ribosomal RNA
Source: RNAcentral
CACGUAGGGGGCAAGCGUUGUCCGGAUUCAUUGGGCGUAAAGAGCUCGUAGGCGGUUCGAUAAGUCGGGUGUGAAACCUCCAGGCUCAACCUGGAGACGCCACCCGAUACUGUCGUGACUAGAGUCCAGUAGGGGAGCGUGGAAUUCCUGGUGUAGCGGUGAAAUGCGCAGAUAUCUGGAGGAACACCGAUGGCGAAGGCAGCCUCCUGGGCCAACACUGACGCUCAUGCACGAAAGCGUGGGGAGCAAACAGG